Molecule: ribosomal RNA, 258 nt
Filed under: uncultured bacterium
Lineage: Bacteria
Description: partial 16S ribosomal RNA
Rfam family: Bacterial small subunit ribosomal RNA
Source: RNAcentral
GAUCAUGGCUCAGGAUGAACGCUAGCGGCAGGCUUAACACAUGCAAGUCGAGGGGCAGCGCGGGGCGGCAACGUCCUGGCGGCGACCGGCGGAAGGGUGCGUAACGCGUGAGCGACAUGCCCGUUGCCCCGGGGACAACCGGUGGAAACGGCCGACUAAUCCCCGAUGGGACGGAGGCCCCUCAUGGGUCUCUGUUGAAAGUUACGGCGGCGACGGAUUGGCUCGCGUCCGAUUAGCUAGUUGGCGGGGUAACGGCCC